This 72-nucleotide transfer RNA is filed under the name Mesocricetus auratus (golden hamster). It matches the Rfam family "tRNA". Rfam says of the family: Transfer RNA (tRNA) molecules are approximately 80 nucleotides in length. Their secondary structure includes four short double-helical elements and three loops (D, anti-codon, and T loops). Further hydrogen bonds mediate the characteristic L-shaped molecular structure. tRNAs have two regions of fundamental functional importance: the anti-codon, which is responsible for specific mRNA codon recognition, and the 3' end, to which the tRNAs corresponding amino acid is attached (by aminoacyl-tRNA synthetases). tRNAs cope with the degeneracy of the genetic code in two manners: having more than one tRNA (with a specific anti-codon) for a particular amino acid; and 'wobble' base-pairing, i.e. permitting non-standard base-pairing at the 3rd anti-codon position. The record is from Rfam by way of RNAcentral. Lineage: Eukaryota; Metazoa; Chordata; Mammalia; Rodentia; Cricetidae.
GGGGAUGUAGCUCAGUGAUAGAGUGCUUGUCUGGUAUGCACAAGGCCCUGAGUUCAAUCCCCAGCUCUUCCC